Long non-coding RNA from Numida meleagris (helmeted guineafowl), 273 nucleotides. RefSeq lists it as uncharacterized. The transcript has 2 exons. The record is from RefSeq and is a predicted model, not a curated record. Lineage: Eukaryota; Metazoa; Chordata; Aves; Galliformes; Numididae.
UCCACCCGGAACAGCUCGAGGGGGUUCUCCAGGAAGACCUCCAGGUGCAGCAGGCAGGAGGGGCUCUGCUUGCAGAUCUGCUCGCGAUCAAUCUUCUCGUUCACGUAGAGCACCCCGGUCUCCAGGUUGAGCUCCAGGAUUGUCCUCGGUUUGUCUUCCUGGUGGGAGCUGGAGGGGGAGACGCUGCUGGCGGAGCCGGUGGACAUGCCCUCUUCGGAGGCAAGGAAAAGGCAGAAAAUCGCGAAAUUAAAAAAAAUAAUAAUAAAAUUAUAA